Molecule: long non-coding RNA, 2039 nt
Filed under: Sorghum bicolor (sorghum)
Lineage: Eukaryota; Viridiplantae; Streptophyta; Magnoliopsida; Poales; Poaceae
Description: long non-coding RNA (SBIC_LNC010594)
Source: RNAcentral
UCAUGCUCAACCAGUUCUCACCGCACCGCCACAACCCCUACUCCUUAAAGGAUCAUCAUCCAAGAUGAAGACCACUAUCAAGGUGCCAACCGGCACAAGAAUCCUUCCACCUAGACCCAAUGAGAGGGUCGUUGGAGUCAAGACCAACCGGAGCGGCGAGAUCAGCAGUGUUCGCUACACUACGGAGAAGGAAAGGCCUUACUUUUAAGGGAUUAGAGCAUCCAAAGUCCGUUUCAUCCCUCCAAAGGCAGCCCCGAAGCACUCUCUCAAUGCUUUUGAGACACCUCCCAAGCGUCGCAAGACUAUAAUGGAUAUUGAUGAGGAAGUUUGCAGGCUAGAUAGAGUUAUCAUAGACCUCCAGUCCUUGAUUAAUUCACUCACUAGGCAGCUCUCUAACCACAACACCAUCAUACUAGGCCUUAGGCAGGAUCUUGCCAGUGCCAACAAGAAGAUCAAGGAAUUAGAGCGCCGCUAAGUUAUCUAGAUUAGACCUUGAGGCAAUGCAUCUUAGUCAUCUAUCUUUAAAUUCGGUUUAAGUUUGCUAUUAUCAUCAGUUUGCUAUUAUCAGUUUGCUAUCAGUUUGCUAUCAGUCUUUUGUAAAAAAUGCCUCAAGAUCAAUAAAGAGUAUUAUUAUUAUUAUGUCUUGUGUGUCUCUACUUUAUUUUUGUGCAAGAAAGCAGAAAACAAGUAUGGGGGAGAUCCCUCGACAUACCAAACACACUCCAACUACACCACUCCACGAUUCAGGUACACACUCUGCACACUUUACUUUACACAUAUAUAUAUUUUGGAUUAUGCAGAAUAUUGUUUCUGACAUGAUAAAAUAAAAAGAUUAAAAUAUUUCUAAUCAUGAUUAAUCUCAAUCUAUGAUAUUUCCUGAAAACUUGCAAUUAUUAUAAAAUCAUUUUAAAACCCUGUGUUACUGAAGUCAAUAUAGAAUAUGUGAUGAUAGAGUAUGAGUUUCUUAUUCUUGAUAUCAUUGUUGCUUGGAGAAUUUAUUUCAAAAUAUUCAAAAUUCUAGCUACCAUCCUCAGUGUUUCAUAUGCCUGAUAAAACUGAAAAUAUUAAUUAUGAUUAUAAAAGCUAUCUGCUCUGUAUUGAGUUUGUUCAAAAUAAGUUAGACCCUUGUUGAGAGAUUUAUCAUGCUCCCAAGAUCAAGACAUUAUUUCAGAAAGAUUCACUCUUCCGAAGUAUUACUGCAUUAGAGGCAUGGGCUAUGCAAAAAUAGAGAUAUUUCGAGGAAAUAAAAAGGAGCAAUUGCUCGACAACCUCGCAGAAAAAAAAUGGACAAGUGUCCGGCAGUAGAAUUAGGGGUACCUCGGUAUUCACUUAAAAAAAAGAGAGAAAAAAAUGAUAGCCCAUAGUCCCUCUAAUAAGCAAUAUGCCAGCAAGAGUUGACAAAGAUUUUAAUUUCCAAAGUCUUUGAUCUAAGAGUAUGACAUUCCCCUCCUCGGAUCCCGUUUUGAUCAGGCAAUAAAUGCAAAGUAAGAAUUCUUGAGAAUUUUUGGAAAAUAAAACAGCCUCAGUGAGAUAUAUAUAAAAGAUAAUGAGUGAUCUAAGAGAACCUAUGAGGAUCAAAAGGUAUGCUAACUUUCUUUCAAAAAUAUACAAAAACUCCAAGUGACAGGAUUGAGAAGAAAGGAUCUUUACUCUUGAUCAUAAACUUCUCUGACUAUGGUACACAGUGGAUUUUAAACACCCUGCAAUUAUAAAGAGAAUGUUUUAAAUGUUUACCCUAGAUAUUUUUCUUAACCAUCAUUUUCUCGAGGACGAGUAAAAGCCUAAGUAUGGGGGUAUUUGUUGACGGUUCUUAAGUAUCAAUUUUAAUUAUCAAAUAAACAUAAGAAAGGACCAAUAUGCAACCAACACCUAGAAUUAGGGUUUGAUCUGACAGAAUUCCACGAGUUUUGUUGUUUAUCUAUUUCUGCAGGGGGUUAUCAGGAAAUAAGGAAGAAAGGCCCACAUGUCGGGAUUACAUAGAGAUAUCAACGCACCGCGCAAUUUUCUACCAUCUAGAAGACUCCAGAAGCCACGAGACC